RNAcentral lists this ribosomal RNA (428 nucleotides) under uncultured prokaryote. RNAcentral describes it as "bacterial SSU rRNA". It matches the Rfam family "Bacterial small subunit ribosomal RNA", at positions 355 to 774 of the family's 1533-position model. The record is from RNAcentral.
UGAGGAAUAUUGCGCAAUGGGGGAAACCCUGACGCAGCAACGCCGCGUGAGUGAGGAAGGUUUUCGGACCGUAAAGCUCUGUCGAGCGGGAAGAAAUGCAUGGUGGCUAAUAUCCAUCAUGCUUGACGGUACCGCUAAAGGAAGCACCGGCUAACUCCGUGCCAGCAGCCGCGGUAAUACGGGGGGUGCGAGCGUUGUUCGGAAUUAUUGGGCGUAAAGAGCGUGUAGGCGGCUGAAGAAGUCAGAUGUGAAAUCCCUGGGCUUAACCCAGGACGGGCAUUUGAAACUAUUCGGCUAGAGUAGGGGAGGGGAAAGUGGAAUUCCGGGUGUAGAGGUGAAAUGCGUAGAUAUCAGGAGGAACACCGGUGGCGAAGGCGACUUUCUGGCCCUAUACUGACGCUGAGACGCGAGAGCGUGGGUAGCAAACA